GACCUCGGAUCAGGUAGGGAUACCCGCUGAACUUAAGCAUAUCAAUAAGCGGAGGAAAAGAAACCAACGGGGAUUGCCUCAGUAACGGCGAGUGAAGCGGCAACGGCUCAAAUUUGAAAUCUGGCUCUUUCAGGGUCCGAGUUGUAAUUUGUAGAAGAUGCUUUGGGUGUGGCUCCGGUCUAAGUUCCUUGGAACAGGACGUCAUAGAGGGUGAGAAUCCCGUAUGUGACUGGUUGCCUUCGCCCGUGUAAAGCUCUUUCGACGAGUCGAGUUGUUUGGGAAUGCAGCUCAAAAUGGGUGGUAAAUUUCAUCUAAAGCUAAAUAUUGGCCAGAGACCGAUAGCGCACAAGUAGAGUGAUCGAAAGAUGAAAAGCACUUUGGAAAGAGAGUUAAACAGUACGUGAAAUUGUUGAAAGGGAAGCGC
RNAcentral lists this ribosomal RNA (424 nucleotides) under uncultured fungus. RNAcentral's name for it is "eukaryotic LSU rRNA". It matches the Rfam family "Eukaryotic large subunit ribosomal RNA", at positions 1 to 422 of the family's 3401-position model. The record is from RNAcentral. Lineage: Eukaryota; Fungi.